Molecule: ribosomal RNA, 253 nt
Filed under: uncultured bacterium
Lineage: Bacteria
Description: partial 16S ribosomal RNA
Rfam family: Bacterial small subunit ribosomal RNA
Source: RNAcentral
UACGAAGGGGGCUAGCGUUGCUCGGAAUCACUGGGCGUAAAGCGCACGUAGGCGGCUUUUUAAGUCAGGGGUGAAAUCCUGGAGCUCAACUCCAGAACUGCCUUUGAUACUGAGAGGCUCGAGUCCGGGAGAGGUGAGUGGAACUGCGAGUGUAGAGGUGAAAUUCGUAGAUAUUCGCAAGAACACCAGUGGCGAAGGCGGCUCACUGGCCCGGUACUGACGCUGAGACGCGAAAGCGUGGGGAGCGAACAGG